CACCGUGAUCUUGGACUUCUCAGCUUCUAGAAUGUUCAGGUGGACAUGGACUCCAUGGAAGCCUGAGCUGCCAGGGGCUUCCCUGGGGCAGCACUGCUUCGCGUAGGCUCACGAGAAACUUCCAGGGUUCCUGGCUUUCUCUGAGCUUGUUACCGUGGAGGGCUGGGCCCGGUUUCUAAUCGCCCCCUUCACCGGGCUGCCUGCCGCUGGCUGCGGAAAGUGUGGGUUUGGCUGCAUGAUGGCCUCGUAAUGGCUGUGGUGACGCCCUCUGCGUCUUCUCCCAGCGCCAGCCUUUCAACAGAGCAGCACAUUAUGCCUGGAUAAGACUCAAAGAGCAGCUUAAUAUCAGGUUCUCUGGGGCUGUAAUCAUCGGUUCAGGAUGGAGCAGACACAGCCGCAGCAAGGCCUCUGUGCAGCCCCCGGUUUAAAACACAUCAACGCAUCCGUGGGCACUUUUGUGAGUUAAAGCUCAACUUACACAUCUGCCUGUAUCCAUAGGAAAUGAAUGAAAAUAAACAAACAAAUUCCUUGCAUUCAACGCAGCGUAAGAAAAAUCACAUCCUGUUCCCCAGUAGCUGAGGAAAGCCGGCUCACGAGAGUAUACAGGGAGAAGAGGCCAGCAUUGUGUGGCUGCCAGCAAAGCUCACUUGUAUGUCAAAUGCAGCGCUUUUCUUAGCCCAUUAUGUAUUUUUUUUUUCUUGAACACUCCUGUGUCUACUGGGAUCUCCUGUUUUUAUUGUUUUGGGAUGAGAUUUUAAAAACACCAUUUAAUGUAGCCUGUGUGCUCUUGUUCAUUAAACCAAAAAGAAACCCUG
This 815-nucleotide long non-coding RNA is filed under the name Homo sapiens (human). RNAcentral's name for it is "non-protein coding LINC00354:6". Lineage: Eukaryota; Metazoa; Chordata; Mammalia; Primates; Hominidae. The record is from RNAcentral.